AUUGAACGCUGGCGGCAUGCCUUACACAUGCAAGUCGAACGGUAACAGGUCUUCGGAUGCUGACGAGUGGCGAACGGGUGAGUAAUACAUCGGAACGUGCCCAGACGUGGGGGAUAACGAGGCGAAAGCUUUGCUAAUACCGCAUACGAUCUAAGGAUGAAAGCAGGGGACCGCAAGGCCUUGUGCGUUUGGAGCGGCCGAUGGCAGAUUAGGUAGUUGGUGGGAUAAAAGCUUACCAAGCCGACGAUCUGUAGCUGGCCUGAGAGGACGACCAGCCACACUGGGACUGAGACACGGCCCAGACUCCUACGGGAGGCAGCAGUGGGGAAUUUUGGACAAUGGGCGAAAGCCUGAUCCAGCAAUGCCGCGUGCAGGAUGAAGGCCUUCGGGUUGUAAACUGCUUUUGUACGGAACGAAAAGGCUCUGGCUAAUACCUGGGGCACAUGACGGUACCGUAAGAAUAAGCACCGGCUAACUACGUG
Molecule: ribosomal RNA, 482 nt
Filed under: uncultured bacterium
Lineage: Bacteria
Description: partial 16S ribosomal RNA
Rfam family: Bacterial small subunit ribosomal RNA
Source: RNAcentral